UUGGACAUUGCAGCGAGCAGCAUGCCCGGAGACCUCAGUCAAUGGAUAAUGAAGCACUAUGAUCCGGAGAAGUCACAGAUUGUUAUACUAGAAAGGGGGAAGAUCCCAGUAGAUGCAGCUAGUGUACAUAGGAUAUGGGGGUUGCCUAACAAGGGGAGGAAGGUGUGCUACGAGAUUCGGCUUGAAAUCACAAAGGACUUCUACAAGAUCUUCAAUAUCCAAGGCAAGAAUGCGCCAACUCACUGCAUGGUGUAA
Molecule: ribosomal RNA, 255 nt
Filed under: Triticum aestivum (bread wheat)
Lineage: Eukaryota; Viridiplantae; Streptophyta; Magnoliopsida; Poales; Poaceae
Description: partial small subunit ribosomal RNA
Source: RNAcentral